GACGAACGCUGGCGGCGUGCUUAACACAUGCAAGUCGAGCGGUAAGGCCCUUUCGGGGGUACACGAGCGGCGAACGGGUGAGUAACACGUGGGUGACCUGCCCUCAGCUCUGGGAUAAGCCUGGGAAACCGGGUCUAAUACUGGAUAUGACUCCAUGACGCAUGUUGUGGGGUGGAAAGCCUUGUGCGGCUGAGGAUGGGCCCGCGGCCUAUCAGCUUGUUGGUGGGGUGANGGCCUACCAAGGCGACGACGGGUAGCCGGCCUGAGAGGGCGACCGGCACACUGGGACUGAGACACGGCCCAGACUCCUACGGGAGGCAGCAGUGGGGAAUCUUGCGCAAUGGGCGAAAGCCUGAACGCAGCGACGCCGCGUGAGGGAUGACGGCC
RNAcentral lists this ribosomal RNA (387 nucleotides) under uncultured bacterium. RNAcentral describes it as "bacterial SSU rRNA". It matches the Rfam family "Bacterial small subunit ribosomal RNA", at positions 28 to 416 of the family's 1533-position model. The record is from RNAcentral.